GAUGAACGCUAGCUACAGGCUUAACACAUGCAAGUCGAGGGGCAGCAUGGUCUUAGCUUGCUAAGGCCGAUGGCGACCGGCGCACGGGUGAGUAACACGUAUCCAACCUGCCGUCUACUCUUGGACAGCCUUCUGAAAGGAAGAUUAAUACAAGAUGGCAUCAUGAGUCCGCAUGUUCACAUGAUUAAAGGUAUUCCGGUAGACGAUGGGGAUGCGUUCCAUUAGAUAGUAGGCGGGGUAACGGCCCACCUAGUCUUCGAUGGAUAGGGGUUCUGAGAGGAAGGUCCCCCACAUUGGAACUGAGACACGGUCCAAACUCCUACGGGAGGCAGCAGUGAGGAAUAUUGGUCAAUGGGCGAGAGCCUGAACCAGCCAAGUAGCGUGAAGGAUGACUGCCCUAUGGGUUGUAAACUUCUUUUAUAAAGGAAUAAAGUCGGGUAUGCAUACCCGUUUGCAUGUACUUUAUGAAUAAGGAUCGGCUAACUCCGUGCCAGCAGCCGCGGUAAUACGGAGGAUCCGAGCGUUAUCCGGAUUUAUUGGGUUUAAAGGGAGCGUAGAUGGAUGUUUAAGUCAGUUGUGAAAGUUUGCGGCUCAACCGUAAAAUUGCAGUUGAUACUGGAUAUCUUGAGUGCAGUUGAGGCAGGCGGAAUUCGUGGUGUAGCGGUGAAAUGCUUAGAUAUCACGAAGAACUCCGAUUGCGAAGGCAGCCUGCUAAGCUGCAACUGACAUUGAGGCUCGAAAGUGUGGGUAUCAAACAGGAUUAGAUACCCUGGUAGUCCACACGGUAAACGAUGAAUACUCGCUGUUUGCGAUAUACGGCAAGCGGCCAAGCGAAAGCGUUAAGUAUUCCACCUGGGGAGUACGCCGGCAACGGUGAAACUCAAAGGAAUUGACGGGGGCCCGCACAAGCGGAGGAACAUGUGGUUUAAUUCGAUGAUACGCGAGGAACCUUACCCGGGCUUAAAUUGCAGAUGAAUUACGGUGAAAGCCGUAAGCCGCAAGGCAUCUGUGAAGGUGCUGCAUGGUUGUCGUCAGCUCGUGCCGUGAGGUGUCGGCUUAAGUGCCAUAACAAGCGCAACCCUUGUUGUCAGUUACUAACAGGUUCCGCUGAGGACUCUGACAAGACUGCCAUCGUAAGAUGUGAGGAAGGUGGGGAUGACGUCAAAUCAGCACGGCCCUUACGUCCGGGGCUACACACGUGUUACAAUGGGGGGUACAGAGGGCCGCUACCACGCGAGUGGAUGCCAAUCCCCAAAACCUCUCUCAGUUCGGACUGGAGUCUGCAACCCGACUCCACGAAGCUGGAUUCGCUAGUAAUCGCGCAUCAGCCACGGCGCGGUGAAUACGUUCCCGGGCCU
This 1358-nucleotide ribosomal RNA is filed under the name uncultured bacterium. RNAcentral's name for it is "bacterial SSU rRNA". It matches the Rfam family "Bacterial small subunit ribosomal RNA", at positions 28 to 1381 of the family's 1533-position model. The record is from RNAcentral.